AUUCUCUUAAAUACAAAAUGUCAUUGACGAAAAAUUAAAUUAAAUCAGUGUCUUUGAAGGAAAGGAAUACAAUUUACAACGAUCCAAUAUUAAAGUAUUAUUUACUUGUCGGAAAUAUAACUUUUAACAAUAUGAAGAACGUCAAACAGUUUACACCAAAAAAGCCGUCAUCAACACAGCAAGUUGCCAAGAAGCACCUGAAACGUCAUGUCAAACGUCUGAGAGACCGAGAGUAUUCAAGACUCCGUCAAAUGGUACCUUCAAUUGCCGAAAAGGAAAAGGUGUCAAAGGUAACUGUAAUUGAAGAGGCUGUAAAGUACAUUGACGAACUACACCAGGCUUUGAUGGAAAGAAUGCAAAAUAAAGGUUUUCCAAAUUCAGAGGGCGUACAAACUCAUAAUAUACAAGAUUUUAUCCACACGAUGUUUCCCGCCAACUUUUUACGACGUGAACCAGCACCGUCACCAGUGUUAUAUGAAAAACAACAGAAAGUGCCGUCCUUCCUUUUACGCCUCAACAAAGACAGAAAACACUUGUAGUUAAAGGAAAACUAUGAGAUACCAUGUGAUAAAAGCGUCACUGUGAUAAAGACGGGCAAUGUGAUAUGGCUCCAAUGAAUGUUAAAGUAAUGCAGACAUCGAAAGAUAAAAACAAUUUCGAUGAAAAUAACAGGAACUUAGUCAACAUUUCGAUGUUAAUUUCAAAGAUAUGGAAUUUUUCAAGUGAAUGAACAUUUGCCAGAUGAAACUAUUUUAAUUGGACAUUACAAGUUUAAAACUUCAUGGAAUAUAUUCUAAUGGAUUGUAUGACUAGAAAACUUGUUGUCCUAAAUGAGAAUUUUUAAGGACCGUUACAGACAAUUCAACAUUUGGAUACUUGGUUGCAUUAAAAGACCACGUGACAAACAUUACAUUGGAGACUUAGAUUUAUGGUGAAUUAAUGUAAUUAAAUUGUGCCAAAUUAUUUACACGAAUUUUAUUAUAUAAAACAUAUGAACUUAUAUUGU
RNA transcript from Mytilus trossulus (common blue mussel), 1006 nucleotides. RefSeq lists it as uncharacterized. The transcript is spliced from 6 exons. The record is from RefSeq and is a predicted model, not a curated record. NCBI's taxonomy places the organism in Eukaryota, Metazoa, Mollusca, Bivalvia, Mytilida, Mytilidae.